AUGCAUGCAUGCUCCGGCCGUCGAUCCCCGGCCGGCCACCACGCAGACACGAAAACACCAGCCGUCCUCGUCCUCGGCACGCUCAAGUGGCAGAUGAUCGCCGGCACCCCGUUCCCGUACCUGAGCUGCUUCGCAGCCAGGUUCCGGCACGACGAGCGCAAGGCCAUCGUCCUGCGCGCCGUCAAGUGCAUCUUCGCCUCCAUCAAAGGUCAGACCACCCCCUGCUCCCGUUCCACCCCAUCAUCCCAUCGGAUCGGAUCAUGA
Molecule: ribosomal RNA, 264 nt
Filed under: Triticum aestivum (bread wheat)
Lineage: Eukaryota; Viridiplantae; Streptophyta; Magnoliopsida; Poales; Poaceae
Description: partial small subunit ribosomal RNA
Source: RNAcentral